This 431-nucleotide unclassified non-coding RNA is filed under the name soil metagenome. RNAcentral's name for it is "partial contains 5.8S ribosomal RNA, internal transcribed spacer 2, and large subunit ribosomal RNA". The stretch from base 1 to 120 matches the Rfam family "5.8S ribosomal RNA", at positions 35 to 154 of the family's 154-position model. The record is from RNAcentral.
GAUGAAGAACGCAGCGAAAUGCGAUACGUAAUGUGAAUUGCAGAAUUCAGUGAAUCAUCGAAUCUUUGAACGCAUAUUGCGCUCUCUGGUAUUCCGGAGAGCAUGCUUGUUUGAGUAUCAGUAAACACCUCAACUUCCAUAUCUUUUUUGAAAUGGGAGUUGGACUUGAGUGAUCCCAACGCUUUUCCUCACCGAAAAGUGGCGGGUUACUUGAAAUGCAGGUGCAGCUGGACUUUUCUCUGAGCUAUAAGCAUAUCUAUUUAGUCUGCCUAAAAACAGAUUAUUACCUUUGCUGCAGCUAACAUAAAGGAGAUUAGUUCUUGUGCUGACUGAUGCAGGAUUCACAAAGACAGGCUUCGGCCGACUUUGUAAACUCGAUCUCAAAUCAAGUAAGACUACCCGCUGAACUUAAGCAUAUCAAUAGCGGAGGA